AAGCGAGGGCAGCCUAACAAUGCAAGAUCCUCGGAGAGUGGGGCGACUCGCUCUCAGUGGCAAACGGGUGAAUAACACGUGAAUAACCUGCCUUUGAGAAGGGGAUAACUGUCCGAGAGGAUAGCUAAUACCCUAUAUUGCCUUUUGUCACUAAGGCAGAAGGUGAGAGCGAGGCUGUCAAAGGCUUCGUCUCAAAGAGGGGUUCGCGUCCUAUCAGGUAGUUGGUGGGGUAAUGGCCUACCAAGCCGAUGAAGGGUAGCUGGUCUUAGAGGAUAAUCAGCCACAGUGGGACUGAGAAGCGAGCCGCACCCCUACGGAGGGAAGCAGUGGGGAAUCGUGGGCAAUGAGCGCAAGCCUGACCCCGCAAUGCCGCAUGAGGAGAGAAGCCCUUCGGGGUGUAAACCUCUAUCAGAUGGGAAGAUGGGACUAGGGGCUAAUACCUCCUAGUCUUGACGGAUCCAUCAGAGGAAGGGACGGCCAACUACGUGCCAGCAGCCGCGGUAAU
This 505-nucleotide ribosomal RNA is filed under the name uncultured bacterium. Its description in RNAcentral is "bacterial SSU rRNA". It matches the Rfam family "Bacterial small subunit ribosomal RNA", at positions 35 to 524 of the family's 1533-position model. The record is from RNAcentral.